Molecule: ribosomal RNA, 465 nt
Filed under: Blasicrura pallidula cf. vivia
Lineage: Eukaryota; Metazoa; Mollusca; Gastropoda; Littorinimorpha; Cypraeidae
Description: partial 16S large subunit ribosomal RNA
Source: RNAcentral
GACCAACCCUUAAAGACUGCUGCAUCUUUAGGAUAUUCUAGUCCAACAUCGAGGUCACAAACUCUCUUUUCGAUGAGAACUCUCAAAGAGAAUUAUGCUGUUAUCCCUAUGGUAACUAAUUCCAUUGAUCAAAAUUUUUGGAUCAAUACUCGUCAGUUUUACUAGCUAUAAAGAAGCUUUAUUUGUUCCAUAGUCGCCCCAACCAAAAUUCUAAAAUAGAUUAAUAUCUAAAAUUAUAUAUUAUUUUCAAUUUAUUCUUUUAAAGCUCAAUAGGGUCUUCUUGUCUUUCAAUAAUAUCUAGGUUUCUUCACCUAGAAAUCAAGUUCUAGAAAAUUACAUAGAGACAGCUUUGUUCACGUCAAACCAUUCAUACUAGCCCUCAAUUAUAGGGCAAAUGAUUAUGCUACCUUUGCACGGUCAGAGUACCGCGGCCGUUAAAAUAUAUUCACUGGGCAGGUCCGACUC